GGGGAAUAUUGGACAAUGGGGGCAACCCUGAUCCAGCCAUGCCGCGUGAGUGAAGAAGGCCUUAGGGUUGUAAAGCUCUUUCACCCGUGACGAUGAUGACGGUAGCGGGAGAAGAAGCCCCGGCUAAUUCCGUGCCAGCAGCCGCGGUAAUACGGAAGGGGCUAGCGUUGUUCGGCAUUACUGGGCGUAAAGCGCGCGUAGGCGGCCAUGCAAGUGAGGCGUGAAAGGCCUGGGCUCAACCUGGGAAGUGCGUUUCAGACUGCACGGCUUGAGUCCGGGAGAGGGUGGUGGAAUUCCCAGUGUAGAGGUGAAAUUCGUAGAGAUCUGGAGGAAUACCGGUGGCGAAGGCGGCCCCCUGGACGAAGACUGACGCUCAGGUGCGAAAGCGUGGGGAGCAAAC
This 400-nucleotide ribosomal RNA is filed under the name uncultured bacterium. RNAcentral describes it as "bacterial SSU rRNA". It matches the Rfam family "Bacterial small subunit ribosomal RNA", at positions 356 to 773 of the family's 1533-position model. The record is from RNAcentral.